Molecule: transfer RNA, 63 nt
Filed under: Liophloeus tessulatus
Lineage: Eukaryota; Metazoa; Arthropoda; Insecta; Coleoptera; Curculionidae
Description: tRNA-Pro
Source: RNAcentral
CAGGGAAUAGUUUAAUAAAAAUAUUAAUUUUGGAGAUUAAAGUUGAGAGUGCCUUUUCCCUGA